UACGGGAGGUGCAAGCGUUACUCGGAAUUACUGGGCUUAAAGCGGGCGCAGGCGGGAUAGCAAGUGUCUUGUGAAAGCCCUCGGCUCAACCGGGGAAUUGCUUGGCAAACUGCUGUUCUUGAGGCGGUUAGAGGUGAGUGGAACGAGUGGUGGAGCGGUGAAAUGCGUAGAUAUCACUUGGAACGCCGGAGGCGAAAGCGGCUCACUGGAUCCGUUCUGACGCUGAGGUCCGAAAGCGUGGGGAGCAAACAGG
This 253-nucleotide ribosomal RNA is filed under the name uncultured bacterium. RNAcentral describes it as "partial 16S ribosomal RNA". It matches the Rfam family "Bacterial small subunit ribosomal RNA", at positions 524 to 776 of the family's 1533-position model. The record is from RNAcentral.